AAGUCGUAACAAGGUUUCCGUAGGUGAACCUGCGGAAGGAUCAUUAAAGAGUACCGGCGCCUUCGGGUGCCUACUCCCACCAAAUGUGAACUCAUAACUGUUGCUUUGGCGGACCGGUAGUCUUCUGCCCUCCGGCUCCGGCUGGAGAGAGUCCGCCAGAGGAUUUUUGAACCCGUUUAACCGUGACAUCUGAGUCUUUACAAAUGAAUUAAAACUUUCAACAACGGAUCUCUUGGCUCUGGCAUCGAUGAAGAACGCAGCGAAAUGCGAUAAGUAAUGUGAAUUGCAGAAUUUAGUGAAUCAUCGAAUCUUUGAACGCACAUUGCGCCCUUUGGUAUUCCGAAGGGCAUGCCUGCUCGAGCGUCAUUUAAACUCUCAAGCCCCGCUUGGUGUUGGGUGCAGGUCCCUCACGGGACCCGCCCGUAACUAGUUGGCGGUACCGUCCGGCUUUAAGCGUAGCAAGAAUCUNCCCUCGCUUCGAAGUCCGGGUGGCGCCUGCCAGGGAAUCACACCCCUUAAAGUUUGACCUCGGAUCAGGUAGGGAUACCCGCUGAACUUAAGCAUAUCAACAAGCGGAGGAAAAGAAACCAACUGGGAUUGCCUUAGUAACGGCGAGUGAAGCGGCAACAGCUCAAAUUUGAAAUCUGGCCUCGGCCCGAGUUGUAAUUUGAAGAGGAUGCUUUGGGGUCGGCCCUGGUCUAAGUUCCUUGGGACAGGACGUCGCAGAGGGUGAGAGUCCCGUACGCGGCCGGGCGCCUUCUCCGUGUAAAGCUCCUUCGACGAGUCGAGUUGUUUGGGAAUGCAGCUCUAAAUGGGAGGUAUAUUUCUUCUAAAGCUAAAUACCGGCCAGAGACCGAUAGCGCACAAGUAGAGUGAUCGAAAGAUGAAAAGCACUUUGGAAAGAGAGUUAAAAAGUACGUGAAAUUGUUGAAAGGGAAGCGUUUGCGGCCAGACCUGAUGGCGGUUGCUCAGCCGGUCUUUUGCCCGGUGCACUCUUCCGCCCUUAGGCCAGCAUCAGUUUGGGCGGCUGGAUAAAGGCAUUGGGAACGUGGCUCCUCGGAGUGUUACAGCCCUUUGCACAAUACAGCCCGCCCGGACUGAGGACAGCGUUCGCUAGGAUGCUGGCGUAAUGGCAGCCAACGGCC
This 1145-nucleotide ribosomal RNA is filed under the name uncultured fungus. RNAcentral describes it as "eukaryotic LSU rRNA". The stretch from base 524 to 1145 matches the Rfam family "Eukaryotic large subunit ribosomal RNA", at positions 1 to 649 of the family's 3401-position model. The record is from RNAcentral. Lineage: Eukaryota; Fungi.